Molecule: non-coding RNA, 2401 nt
Organism: Oncorhynchus mykiss (rainbow trout)
Lineage: Eukaryota; Metazoa; Chordata; Actinopteri; Salmoniformes; Salmonidae
Source: RefSeq, a predicted model, not a curated record
UUGGCCUUCUGAUGUUAUGGAAGGCCCUCCUUCUUCCCGCCCCAGUGAUUGGCCUUCUGAUGUUAUGGAAGGCCCUCCUUCUUCCCGCCCCAGUGAUUGGCCAUCUGAUGUUAUGGAAGGCCCUCCUUCUUCCCGCCCCAGUGAUUGGCCUUCUGCGUUUGAACAGCAUUUCUUUCUCUUCUUUCCCAAUGCUCUCCUCCCCUCCUGUCUGGGCCCAGCUAAUCUCCAGAACAGGGAGGAAUCCAACUUGAUUGAACUUCCGCACAAAGAUUAUUAUUAUUAUUCCAAUGCAAUUAUUUGCACUAAAGGGCUGCUGACUCGCUGGUCCUGGGGCUGGCUGAGGGCCAAUCUCAUCCUCUUCUACCAACUCACUGUCAGACUCUGAAUUGACAGAGGCAUGAUCCUCAUAUUCGGGAAAAUUCUUCAUCUUCCAAAGUGGAAGACGUACCUUCCACACCAGCUUCUCUCUCUACAAAAAUGAUUUCUAAGUCCCUCUGAGCAGAGAUGAUUUUGAUGAACGGAUAUCAGAACUGUCAGGCAAACUGACAUUCUGAUCUGACCAGCCAUUCCCACCAUCAGCUAGUCCGCAUGCAUCACCCUUAAUAUCAGAGGCAAAUGCAGCAUCCUACAAGGCUUGCAGCUCUACCUCCACUUACUGCAAGGGGAUUGAGCAAUGCCUGCUAAAGUGGGUUAAAAUGACUAAUAAUUAGAAACAUAAUAGAAUGGUAAACAAAUGUAAAACUGAAAGUAAGAUUCAAGUAGAUCUGACGAAUAAUAACAGUUUGGGAAUUGAUCAAAUGAAGUUGGACAUAAGCCAUUUUGCUGGACUUAAUAUAUGAGUGUUUGUGAAACAGCAUAAGUUAAGUAGGUAUACCGUAUACUAUUCAUAAGAAUACCUCAUGUUUGAAAUACUCAAACUGAUGCAAAUAGUUGUUAUAUUUUAAAAGUAGAACUAGCACAAUAUUUUGUACAAUGUAUGUGCACAUGUUUUUAUGAAAAGUUGUGUGUACAUUAGCGUGUGUGCAUGUGAGCUUGCAUGUUCAUGUGUACGAGUGUGUAUAUUUAUUUGUGUAUGUGUGUGUGUGUGUGUGUGUGAGGGGGGGGGGCAGUAGGUUCAUCCUGUAGGCUGUGAAUGUUCAUGACACACAGCACUCAUGGGACGGGCUGUCAAGCAUGACGGGACGGGCUGUCAAGCAUGACUAAGCACAUUCUGUGAGUGUGUGCUUGAUCUGUGUGUGUGUGUUUUGAGUGUGUGUGUGUGUUCUGUGUGUGUGUGUGUGUGUGUGUUCUUUGCAUGCGUGAGUGUGUGUGUGUGUGUGAAUAUCAACCUGAGACCUCCACAUCCAUGACUUUACCACAGUGACUGGAUAAAAGAUGAUGCCUCGAUCAUCAUUGAACUGUCAAGGCUGCUUAUUCAGUGGCGUUCAAUCAUAUCACUGCAGAUAGAAAUGCAAUAUAUAGAGUUGACACUGUUUUCUAUUUUCCAUCACAGAGAAGCAUGUCUGGUCUACAAACAAACAUCUCAAUCUGAACUUACUCUCUCUCCUGUAUACACCUCUAAUGAGGAUGUUUUCAGCUGUACUUCUGUAACAGAAUGUACUGACUGCUGAUUCCUUACACUACUUUCUCAUCUUUCUUUGUUUUCCAGAGAGAGGUAGGUUGCAACCCAAAUGGCCCCCUAUUCCAGAGGUCAAAAGUAACACACUAUUUUUUAAACCACAUCUCUCUACCAUCGCUCCAUGGUGUAUACAGAGAAUGAGUAAUAACAGUCUUUACUCAACAAAACAACAAAAUAUUCCACGCAGGGAAACUAUACCAGCUCACAAAUAUAAGAGACCGCUUAACACAGAACAAAGACGCACAAAACCAUGGAGGGUUAAAUAAGGAACAUAAUUAUGGGAAUGGAAACCAGGUGUGUACAAUGAAGACAAAACAAAUGGAAAAUGAAAAGUGGAUCGGUGACUGCUAGAAAACCGGUGACGUCAACCGGCGAACGCCGAACAAGGAGAGGGACCAACUUCGGCGGAAGUCAUGACACCCACUCUUCAUCUUUCUCCAUCUCUCUGCAUCUCUAAGAAACGAUUACAAUUGCACCAUUCAUGGUCGUAUUCACACACAACAGUAAAUAUACAUUAUCUCUCACAUGCAGUUCAGCUACCUCUAUUACUGCAGCUCACCUAUUUAUAGGCCCCAACUGGUAGAAUGUACUGUAUGUCUCAAUCUCUCUCUGUUAGAUGUAAGCUUACUAAGUUAGAGAACAUUACUGCUAAAGACGAGAUGGUCACACGGAGCCACUGCUGGGAUUUCAACAUGGGAUCUCCUGUUUACUAUUCUAAGCAGAUGGUAAUAUAUUCCACUAAUGUCUUAUCAGAAUCAUGUUAGAUGAAUAAAUGAUAUCUUU